UAAGCAUACUUACUCCGUAAAAUCACCGUAAAAUCACAAAGAACUCCUUGUCAUAGGUCUAUUCUUUGCAAGUUUAGUGUCAUAGAUAUAGGCUUAGCUAGCUAGAGUGUGAGGAGCUGUCUUGUGCGAAGGAAGAAGGAGCAUCACUCUUGUGAAAGAACAGACCUAGGUUCUCAAGUUUCUGCUAUCAGUGGCUACCUUUGAUUGAAUACACAAUUUAAUUAAUACAAGCGCUUGAUUAGACCAUUGAUUGCCAGAUACACUUGGUAGAGUCUAUCCUCAGACUCUGGCCAUCGAUCUCUUGUAUACUAUGCUCAGGGGUGUCCACAAGUGGCUGGGCCUGGGAUGUAUUGUCAAGCCUAUAGCCCAAUCCUUGGUAUCUGGAUCAAGAUAUGACAUUACGGCACUGGCACUGGUGUUGUGUUAGCCUCCUUCACCGGCCUUCAAGGAAGUGCGGCCUGGGAUCGUGGCUAGUUUGUGUGGACCAUCACUGAGCAAAAUGGAACCUUCCCCUCCAACCCCCGUCGUACUCCUCCUAGCUGAUGGGUGUGAACUCAUUGAAAGAGGAUGCCCCAGUGCCACUCGUGUCCUUCCCAAGGGUCCGAUCUUAUAGAACUACCUGCACUAAAACUACUGACGUGGAAUGGCUCUUUCAACACUUGUGGUUGCUAUCCUGACCAGUGAUGUCAGGAUUCUACUGUCUCUUGAUGCACUGUGAACACACAAUCUUUGUUAUGCCACCUGAAGGCUUAGCAGGCAUAUCCAACGCAGUAUUUAUUCAGUCUUCCUGGAAGCUCUUGUUUGAGAUCUUCGCUUCUAAACAUCUGCAUUUAUUAUGGACGCAGUACUGCUGUGCACAGUAUUAAUUUCUAGUGUCAUUAUAUCAUUAUUUUUAGCCAACUGUGAUAAUUAAACUGAAGAUUUUACAGUACAUAGUUGAUACUUACCAGUUUCCGGUCACGCCCAGAUACAAUCAAUACCAGGCCGAGGAGGCGACC
Halichondria panicea is the source of this 998-nucleotide long non-coding RNA. RefSeq lists it as uncharacterized. Lineage: Eukaryota; Metazoa; Porifera; Demospongiae; Suberitida; Halichondriidae. The transcript has 3 exons. The record is from RefSeq and is a predicted model, not a curated record.